This 255-nucleotide ribosomal RNA is filed under the name uncultured bacterium. RNAcentral's name for it is "partial 16S ribosomal RNA". It matches the Rfam family "Bacterial small subunit ribosomal RNA", at positions 524 to 776 of the family's 1533-position model. The record is from RNAcentral.
UACGUAGGCAGCAAGCGUUGUUCGGAGUUACUGGGCGUAAAGGGUGCGUAGGCGGUCCUAUAAGUAUGGUGUGAAAUCUCCCGGCUUAACUGGGAGGGUGCGCUAUAGACUGUGGGACUAGAGUGUGGGAGAGGAAAGUGGAAUUCCUGGUGUAGCGGUGAAAUGCGUAGAUAUCAGGAGGAACACCGGUGGUGUGAAACGCUUUCGUGGACCAUAACUGACGCUGGAGGCACGAAAGCGUGGGUAGCAAACAGG